This 71-nucleotide transfer RNA is filed under the name Cordylochernes scorpioides. RNAcentral's name for it is "tRNA-Thr". Lineage: Eukaryota; Metazoa; Arthropoda; Arachnida; Pseudoscorpiones; Chernetidae. The record is from RNAcentral.
UGUCAAGGGGAAUCGAACCCACGACCUUCCGCUUACCGGGCAGAUGCCAUGACCACUAGGCUACCCUGGAC